GAAUAUUGGGCAAUGGACGAAAGUCUGACCCAGCCAUGCCGCCUGCAGGAUGACUGUCCUAUGGAUUGUAAACUGCUUUUAUAUGGGAAGAAACCCCUGGAUGCGUCCGGGGCUGACGGUACCAUAUGAAUAAGGAUCGGCUAACUUCGUGCCAGCAGCCGCGGUAAGACGAAGGAUUCAAGCGUUGUCCGGAUUUACUGGGUUUAAAGGGUGCGUAGGCGGAACUCUAAGUCAGUGGUGAAAGCUCCCGGCUCAACCGGGAAAUUGCCAUUGAAACUGGUUUUCUUGAAUACAGUGGAGGUAGAUGGAAUAUAACAUGUAGCGGUGAAAUGCUUAGAUAUGUUAUAGAACACCGAUUGCGAAGGCAGUCUGCUACACUGUCAUUGACGCUGAGGCACGAAAGCGUGGGGAGCGAACAGG
Molecule: ribosomal RNA, 420 nt
Filed under: uncultured bacterium
Lineage: Bacteria
Description: bacterial SSU rRNA
Rfam family: Bacterial small subunit ribosomal RNA
Source: RNAcentral